GGUGAGUUGGCUGAGCGGCUGAAGGCGCUCGCUUGGAAAGCGAGUUUAGGUUUAUCCCUAACAUGAGUUCGAAUCUCAUACUCACCGCCA
Molecule: transfer RNA, 90 nt
Filed under: Thalassotalea psychrophila
Lineage: Bacteria; Pseudomonadati; Pseudomonadota; Gammaproteobacteria; Alteromonadales; Colwelliaceae
Also listed under: 2 other names
Description: Colwelliaceae bacterium SQ149 tRNA-Ser
Rfam family: tRNA
About the family: Transfer RNA (tRNA) molecules are approximately 80 nucleotides in length. Their secondary structure includes four short double-helical elements and three loops (D, anti-codon, and T loops).
Source: RNAcentral